RNAcentral lists this ribosomal RNA (441 nucleotides) under uncultured bacterium. RNAcentral's name for it is "partial 16S ribosomal RNA". It matches the Rfam family "Bacterial small subunit ribosomal RNA", at positions 338 to 795 of the family's 1533-position model. The record is from RNAcentral.
CCUACGGGUGGCAGCAGUCGGGAAUAUUGCGCAAUGGAGGAAACUCUGACGCAGUGACGCCGCGUGCAGGAAGAAGGUUUUCGGAUUGUAAACUGCUUUAGACAGGGAAGAAAAAAGACAGUACCUGUAAAAUAAGCUCCGGCUACCUACAUGCCCGAGGCCGCGGUAAUAGGUAGGGAUAAAGAGUUUCCCGGAUCUAUUGGGUUUAAAGGGUGCGUGGACGGAGAAGCAAUUUAGUUGUGAAAUCCCUCGGCUUAACUGAGGAACUUAAACUAAAACUACUUCCCUUGAGUACUGGAGAGGAAAGUGGAAUUCCUAGUGUAGCGGUGAAAUGCGUAGAUAUUAGGAGGAACACCAGUGGCGAAGGCGACUUUCUGGACAGUAACUGACGUUGAGGCACGAAAGUGUGGGGAGCAAACAGGAUUAGAUACCCGUGUAGUC